GACAGAGGGUGCAAGCGUUAAUCGGAAUUACUGGGCGUAAAGCGCUCGUAGGUGGCUGUUCAAGUCUGCUGUCAAAGACCGGGGCGUAACCCCAGAAAGGCAGUGGAAACUGAACGGCUGGAGUGCAGUAUGGGUAGAGGGAAUUCCCAGUGUAGCGGUGAAAUGCGUAGAGAUUGGGAAGAACACCGGUGGCGAAAGCGCUCUGCUGGACUGCAACUGACACUGAGGGACGAAAGCUAGGGGAGCGAAAGGG
This 253-nucleotide ribosomal RNA is filed under the name uncultured bacterium. RNAcentral's name for it is "partial 16S ribosomal RNA". It matches the Rfam family "Bacterial small subunit ribosomal RNA", at positions 524 to 776 of the family's 1533-position model. The record is from RNAcentral.